GUGCUUCAAGUGCUAGCAGGAUAUUUCCUAUCUAAGAAAACAGAUGCUGGUUAGGAGCUUCCUAAGCAUUUUCUCUUUCCUCCCAGAACUGCUGGAGAGAGAAUUAUAUUCUCUUCUGUUGUCAGUUUAGAGGAGAACAAAACCAAACAUCACCUGGAGAGGUUCCUGCUGUUGCACUCCCAGAGGCUGGAACUGCUGCCCCAGGACCAGGAUCUGCCCAUUACUGAGCAAGCUGCCAUGCUGCAGCAGACAACUGGGAAGACUUUGAGCAAGAGAAGGAGGAGAGGAACCAGUUUGCUUUGUGCUUGGGGGGGAAUUGACUGCCAGGCUUUUGGUGUCCAGCUGCAUAGAGAAGUCUUGAAGGCCUGUUCCUUGUUGCCAGCUCUCCCUGUCUGGUUACAGACUCCUGGUUUGCACUUUUGUGAUUCAACAAACUGCAGAGGUGGAGCAAACAGCAGAAACUCCAGGAAAGCAAAAAGUCCAGCCUGGGCAGAGGACAAAGGUCUUCCUCUUGAGCUGAGCUUGCCCCAGCCUGUCAGAAGAGCUCCAACAAAACUUGAUUGCCAUCCUGACUCCACACAGCCCAGGUACAGCAGCACUGACAGUGAUACACUGCAAGUGAGGUGCCUCAGUCCCCACCAGCCAUUUCUGAGCCCUGAACAAAUAGCCAGGGAUGUACUGCGGUCUGGAUGUGGCCCUGGGCGCCUCAAACAGGAAGGAGAUGGAUCCUGCUUCUCACCAGCUAGGGUGAGCUCCCCCAAUGCCUUGCGCUGGGAGCUGGGAGUACAUCCCAGCCUCCAUCCCUGCCAAAUGGGGAUACCAGCAGCACUGGCACACAGACCAAAAUGCCUUUGAUGUGUCUAUCUCUGCAGACCAAAGCACAGAUCCAUCUUUAAUAAGCUUAUGAUCUGCUGAGCUGGAGAGUUUUGCCUGUGAUGUGCCUGCGUAGCAGAGCUGUGAACUGGCUGUUGGGAGGUUCUCAAGUGGCUGCUGUGUGCAGUGUGUGACUGGGGAGGGAUCCCUUCUGCAAAACAAGAUUUAAAUCUGCUCAGGAAUGUCUGCGUCAGCAAAAGCUUCUGGAAUGGUGAUUUAUUCCAAGGCCUCUCGCUUGGCUCUGAUCUUGGAGGGAACUUUCAUCUGGAAGUCCCAGGAUGGGAAGAGUGGUGUAAGGAUAAAGGGCUCUGAUUGCCAGGAAUGGAUCCUAUUCCAGCCCUUUUACCCUAAUGUCUCCAAAUAAAAGGUCCCACAGGGAAGGCUCUGGGCUCAGUAUGCUCCAUCUUACUAGUGCCUCUGGAAAACUCUGAGGGUUCAGAUUUCUCACUUGGUUCUAUCAACCCCCAUGUGCAGCUAGCAGAGAAGAAUGGUUGCACCACCCAUGCUACACUGCCUUAUCCAGACACUGGGACUGUCACCCUAAUUCAUCCCACACAGAGACCAGGGUGGUGGCUGGAGCUGGGGCUGGACUGCUGUGGCUGUCCCCAGUCUGGACUACUCAGUCCCAGCUCUGCAGAGGAAUGCUGUGGGCAGGGUGCUGGGGUUGUGGUUGGACAGUGGCCUAGAGCUUUCAAGGGCCUCUGGAUCGUGGGGAAAUCCACCACUUCUGCAGCCUCCUGAGCACGGAAGAUCCUCAAAAUCUGAGCUUGAGUACCCAGAGCUGAAAGGAGCUGUGCAGGGGCAUUCAUGUUGGCAUGGGCUGCUAUCCACAGCCCAUUUGCAGAAGCAACCUGGGAGGUGGCAGACGGAAUAGCUGCAGAGACCAUAGCUGGAAAACAGCGGAGGUGGCAGACUCUGAAAAAGAAGGAUGCACUUGAAAUCCAUCAGAACCAACGACUGACCCACCAUGUGUGCCAGGGCAACAUGGUCACCUUGACCAGGCUCACCAGGCUGCAUGGAGAAGGCAGCCACUAGAGACACUGAUAAAAUGAGACAUUCCCCAAGUGGGCUGUGAUGAGUAACAAGCCAGGAAAUGGCAAGGAGAGGUCUUCUGACAUCCUCUGUGUGUGUGAAGCAACAGUUAUUAAAGACUACAGCAAUGCAGGGAGCUGGGAAAGUGCAAGAGAAGCCAGAGAAAGCCUGAGACUCUAGGAAUAGGAAUCUGAGACUUGGCAAACAUGGGAGCUCCUGAAAAGCCUCAGAUGGUGAAGCUGUGCCUGGAAGGUGGCAGCCAACCUGGUAGAUCACGUAUGGCAGCUCAGCUCUGAGAAGGGCUCAGAGGCACAGCUCUGCACUGUUUUUCUCUGCCUGGGCUGGCUGUGGGAAGUUGAAGAAUGAGGGGGAAGAGAAGUAUAAAAUCAGGGUGCAGAGCAGCUGCUUGGACAGUGGAAGGUAAGAGAAUCCAGUGGGAUGUUCCAUUGGACUUCAGAGACAUCUGUGUGAAGUCUGGCAGAAGGUCCUGGGUGAGGGAAAUGGGACUCAUGCUGAGUCAAUUCCUCCGGGAAAAUGAAAAGCAAAAAGCCAUGGAAAGGUCCUGACCCUCUCAGGCUGCUGCUCUUCCUGGCUAAACAGAGAGGCCAGCAGCUUACUUGCAUCAGCUGAACACUUUUAUUUCCAGUGGGUUACACAUGCAUGUUGACAAUAAAAGACAGAGACCUC
This is a long non-coding RNA of Pogoniulus pusillus (Red-fronted tinkerbird), 2592 nucleotides long. RefSeq lists it as uncharacterized. NCBI's taxonomy places the organism in Eukaryota, Metazoa, Chordata, Aves, Piciformes, Lybiidae. The record is from RefSeq and is a predicted model, not a curated record. The transcript has 5 exons.